UUCACUUWGAAUCUGACCUCAAAUCA
RNAcentral lists this ribosomal RNA (26 nucleotides) under Vuilleminia comedens. RNAcentral's name for it is "partial 28S ribosomal RNA". The record is from RNAcentral. Lineage: Eukaryota; Fungi; Basidiomycota; Agaricomycetes; Corticiales; Vuilleminiaceae.